This 97-nucleotide signal recognition particle RNA is filed under the name Kaustia mangrovi. RNAcentral's name for it is "Bacterial small signal recognition particle RNA". It matches the Rfam family "Bacterial small signal recognition particle RNA". From Rfam's summary of the family: The signal recognition particle (SRP) is a universally conserved ribonucleoprotein involved in the co-translational targeting of proteins to membranes. The record is from Rfam by way of RNAcentral. Lineage: Bacteria; Pseudomonadati; Pseudomonadota; Alphaproteobacteria; Hyphomicrobiales; Parvibaculaceae.
AGAGGCUGGCGGCAGGCGUGCCGUUCGCCAACCGGGUCAGGUCCGGAAGGAAGCAGCCCUAACGAAUCCGGCAUGGGUUGUCCGUCCAGUCUCUCGC